This 435-nucleotide long non-coding RNA is filed under the name Pan troglodytes (chimpanzee). Its description in RNAcentral is "long non-coding RNA NONPTRT005246". Lineage: Eukaryota; Metazoa; Chordata; Mammalia; Primates; Hominidae. The record is from RNAcentral.
GGAGUUUGCUGUUUCGCCCAGGCUGGAGUGAAGUGGCGAGAUCUCGGCUCACUGCAACCUCCGCCCCCGGGGUUCAAGUGAUUCUCCUGCCUCAGCCACCACGAUUUAACAGUUUGGAAUAGUUCAACAGUGAAGUCAUCUCAACCAGCCCAGGGCCUUGACUCCUAACAACAAUCACACGAACUUGGAAGAGGAUCCUUCCCCAGCUGAACCUUCACUUGAGACCUUGUCAUUGGCCAUCAUUGACAUCUGGAUUCAUGAUACAGAGAAACUUGAGUAAUGAUGACACUAGCAGUCCAGCGUGCAUGGAUGCUGACAUGGAUGCUGUCUCCCAUUCUUACCACUGGAUGUGAAGAAAUGCUAGAUGCAAUCCAUCCAAUCUGUACUCGACUGUCAGUUCCAUCUUCUCAACUCACAGUGUCUUCCAAAGUCCAU